Non-coding RNA from Thermoplasmatales archaeon B_DKE, 305 nucleotides. It matches the Rfam family "Archaeal signal recognition particle RNA". The record is from Rfam. Lineage: Archaea; Methanobacteriati; Thermoplasmatota; Thermoplasmata; Thermoplasmatales.
GGCUGAACUCGGCCGGGAAGCCAGGCACUUCCUGUUACCCGAAGUCUAUAUGCGGGGGCGACAGCCAGGGAAGACCAACCGGACUUCUGCCAGGCCCCAUGGAGUCCGUGAAAUUCUGUCCCUUUGGAUCGAAGGACCCGCAGGACAAACUCAAAGGAGACUGCCUUGCAGGCUUGCCAGAAGACUCCGCCAGGUCCGGAAGGGAGCAACGGUAUUCUGGACUCUUGAUGCUGAAGGGGUGCGGGACAGAGACAAAAUGGGGGGAACCUGACAGGACAUUCGGCCCAACCCUGGUGCGUUCAGCA